RNAcentral lists this ribosomal RNA (497 nucleotides) under uncultured bacterium. RNAcentral's name for it is "partial 16S ribosomal RNA". It matches the Rfam family "Bacterial small subunit ribosomal RNA", at positions 28 to 507 of the family's 1533-position model. The record is from RNAcentral.
GACGAACGCUGGCGGCGUGCCUAAUACAUGCAAGUAGAACGCUGAAGAGAGGAGCUUGCUCUUCUUGGAUGAGUUGCGAACGGGUGAGUAACGCGUAGGUAACCUGCCUUGUAGCGGGGGAUAACUAUUGGAAACGAUAGCUAAUACCGCAUAACAAUGGAUGACACAUGUCAUUUAUUUGAAAGGGGCAAUUGCUCCACUACAAGAUGGACCUGCGUUGUAUUAGCUAGUAGGUGAGGUAACGGCUCACCUAGGCGACGAUACAUAGCCGACCUGAGAGGGUGAUCGGCCACACUGGGACUGAGACACGGCCCAGACUCCUACGGGAGGCAGCAGUAGGGAAUCUUCGGCAAUGGGGGCAACCCUGACCGAGCAACGCCGCGUGAGUGAAGAAGGUUUUCGGAUCGUAAAGCUCUGUUGUAAGUCAAGAACGAGUGUGAGAGUGGAAAGUUUACACUGUGACGGUAGCUUACCGGAAAGGGACGGCUAACUACGUG